UACGGGGGGGGCAAGCGUUGUUCGGAAUUACUGGGCGUAAAGGGCUCGUAGGCGGCCAACUAAGUCAGACGUGAAAUCCCUCGGCUUAACCGGGGAACUGCGUCUGAUACUGGAUGGCUUGAGUUCGGGGGAGGGAUGCGGAAUUCCAGGUGUAGCGGUGAAAUGCGUAGAUAUCUGGAGGAACACCGGUGGCGAAGGCGGCAUCCUGGACCGAUACUGACGCUGAGGAGCGAAAGCCAGGGGAGCAAACGGG
Molecule: ribosomal RNA, 253 nt
Filed under: uncultured bacterium
Lineage: Bacteria
Description: partial 16S ribosomal RNA
Rfam family: Bacterial small subunit ribosomal RNA
Source: RNAcentral